GACGAACGCUGGCGGCGUGCUUAACACAUGCAAGUCGAGCGGUAAGGCCCUUUCGGGGGUACACGAGCGGCGAACGGGUGAGUAACACGUGGGUGACCUGCCCUUAGCUCUGGGAUAAGCCUGGGGAAACUGGGUCUAAUACCGGAUAUGACUCCAUGACGCAUGUUGUGGGGUGGAAAGCCUUGUGCGGCUAGGGAUGGGCCUGCGGCCUAUCAGCUUGUUGGUGGGGUGAUGGCCUACCAAGGCGACGACGGGUAGCCGGCCUGAGAGGGCGACCGGCCACACUGGGACUGAGACACGGCCCAGACUCCUACGGGAGGCAGCAGUGGGGAAUCUUGCGCAAUGGGCGAAAGCCUGACGCAGCGACGCCGCGUGGGGAUGACGGCCU
This 388-nucleotide ribosomal RNA is filed under the name uncultured bacterium. RNAcentral describes it as "bacterial SSU rRNA". It matches the Rfam family "Bacterial small subunit ribosomal RNA", at positions 28 to 417 of the family's 1533-position model. The record is from RNAcentral.